UUUUAGAGGGAAUGCUUUCAAUUUUUCUCCAUUUAGAAUGAUGUUGACCUUGGGCUUAGUAUGCAUAGCUUUUACAAUGUUGAGAUAUGUUCGUAUUAUCCCUAGUUUUUCUAGUGUUUUGAACAUGAAGGGAUGCUGUAUUUUGUCAAAUUCUUUUUCUGUAUCUAUUGAGAUAAUCAUGUGAUUCUUGUCUUUAAUCUACUGAUGUGGUGAAUUACUGAUAGGUUGAAUUUCAGUGAAUUGAUUUUUAGCAAAUUAGUCUGCUUUCAGAGUUCAGUGACUAGUAAACUAUAAUUUUUGCUUUAAUUUGUAUUCAGUAAAAUGGCAGAAUAAGAGGUCCCCUGCUCAAAUACCCCCAUAGGAACAUUAAUUUAUAACCAUCCUUGGACAAAUGUGCCAUUGUGUUCUGGUGGCACUAUGGAGGAGUCUAUUAAUUUGUAGAAGAGCCCAAGACCAAGGAAUGUUGUUUGUGAGGGCAGGUCACACAUAGGUGGGAAAUUUGUGGCUGGGUCUCACCUACAGACCUGAAAAUGGCUUUGUCUCCUUGUGGACUCAGCUGCAAGUCUCAUUGUGCCACCAGAAGUCUCCAUCAAGAGACUUGAGGUGAGUCAUGCCCACCUGUAUCUUGAGUGACUGAUACCCUGACCUCAGGCCUAGUUAUGGACCAUGAAGCAUCCCUGUAAGUUAGGUAGAUAUCCUCUUAGCUAAAGUCUGUGAGUGUAUUCUGUGAGUGGAUCCAUACAUCUAGGAAUUUACCAGGAGACAUACACAUCUGUGUCACCAGAACAGGCCUUCAGAUCUUGGUCUUAGCUGUGUAACAUGAAGCAACCCUGUGACUUUUCAAGUAAAUCUCAUUCCAAGUCCAGGGCCAGGCCUAUUUCUUUAACACCACACCCAGUGACACUAAGAUCUCUCCCUGGGAACCAAUGGAAGCCACACUUAUUUAUGUACCUGAAAACAAGCCUUCUGUCUACAGUUUCAACUGGGAAAACUCAGGUGGACUCUUAUCCCAGCAUAGACAAGGUCAAAAAAGGAAUCCAGUCCACCCAAGACCAAACAAAAUCCAUGAUGCUGACUGAAGUGGCUAGUAAAUGGGCUGCCAAUUGUGAAACCUACUUUAAACUUAGUUGUAGCCAUAUGACCCAGCUCCAACACCACUUGAUUGAAACUGGAGAUAAUCCCAUUAGCCAAAAGAAAAAAAAAGUGAAAAAUACUGAAAAAAAAAAACAUAAGGGAAUUUAGGACACCAUCAGGAGUAUGAAUAUGUGAACUAUUGGGAGUUUCACAAGGAAAGAGAGAGGCAAGAAGCUUAUUAAAAGAACUAAUGGCAGAAAAUUUCUCAAACCUUGGGAAUGGUAUGUACAU
RNAcentral lists this long non-coding RNA (1365 nucleotides) under Marmota monax (woodchuck). The record is from RNAcentral. Lineage: Eukaryota; Metazoa; Chordata; Mammalia; Rodentia; Sciuridae.